This 619-nucleotide long non-coding RNA is filed under the name Vigna radiata. RNAcentral describes it as "long non-coding RNA (VRAD_LNC007418)". Lineage: Eukaryota; Viridiplantae; Streptophyta; Magnoliopsida; Fabales; Fabaceae. The record is from RNAcentral.
ACACAUUAAACACAUCAUAAGAGAUAUAUGCAAAUUAGGUUAAAAUUUUGAUAUUUUCGCUCAAGCUUAAGAUCUGCUCGUUAAAUUAGUAGGGCUUGAUAGAACACUCACUCGGGCACCAGAUAUGCUCAUUAAGCUAGUAGGGCCUGAUAGCACACUCGCUCAGUCAACAAAUUUGCUCACUCAACUAGUAGGACCUGACAAUACAGAUGCCAAAUCAACCAACCAUCUAUCAUACACAAUUCAAUUACUCAAUUCACCAAAUGCAAUAUCAACCACACAAUAUAUCAACAUUUCAACAUAUAUAAUCACCAAUCAAAACCCCUUACUCAACUCGACGGGUCAUAUUUCAUCAGACAUUUCAAUUACACAACCCAACUAUCAUACAAGAUACAAUAAGUAAUUAUAAGUUCUUAUGAGUUAAAAUCAAUGAAAUUAGCUCCCUUUACUUGAUAGAUGACAAAACUAUUAUAGAAAGCCUAUAACAAAUCCAAAUGCGCAAGAAAACAUAUAUGCUCAUAUGAACAACAAAAACACGGUUAGGAAACACGGUAAAAACCACUAAUUAGUAGAGAGUCUUGUAGAGUACCCAAAUACCACAUGCAACCCUAGAUAACUC